GCCGUUGCAUAUUACAGGAUACAGUCAAUGAUAUGUGGACAUGCAUCAAAGCUUCGCUCUUGCUGGUGACAUCAUAGCCUUCCAAUGACCAUGACAUCCACCACCUCCCCCUUGUGAAGCUCCACAUACUGCUCUGUCUUUGGAGGUAGCAUCAACAGUCCAUUGGCACUGCGCAUACUCAUCAGACGACUGCUCAUCUGAUUCCCUGUACUCUGUGCCCAAGGUAGUGGUUCUUGGUGAUGCCAAGUCAGUAUGCACCGAUGAUAUUCUGGGCGGGGGUCCA
This 283-nucleotide long non-coding RNA is filed under the name Gallus gallus (chicken). Lineage: Eukaryota; Metazoa; Chordata; Aves; Galliformes; Phasianidae. The record is from RNAcentral.